RNAcentral lists this ribosomal RNA (729 nucleotides) under Rhizobium sp. LSR-3. Its description in RNAcentral is "bacterial SSU rRNA". It matches the Rfam family "Bacterial small subunit ribosomal RNA", at positions 1 to 769 of the family's 1533-position model. Lineage: Bacteria; Pseudomonadati; Pseudomonadota; Alphaproteobacteria; Hyphomicrobiales; Rhizobiaceae. The record is from RNAcentral.
CGAAUGCAUCUAGAUUAGAGUUUGAUCCUGGCUCAGAACGAACGCUGGCGGCAGGCUUAACACAUGCAAGUCGAACGCCCCGCAAGGGGAGUGGCAGACGGGUGAGUAACGCGUGGGAACAUACCCUUUCCUGCGGAAUAGCUCCGGGAAACUGGAAUUAAUACCGCAUACGCCCUACGGGGGAAAGAUUUAUCGGGGAAGGAUUGGCCCGCGUUGGAUUAGCUAGUUGGUGGGGUAAAGGCCUACCAAGGCGACGAUCCAUAGCUGGUCUGAGAGGAUGAUCAGCCACAUUGGGACUGAGACACGGCCCAAACUCCUACGGGAGGCAGCAGUGGGGAAUAUUGGACAAUGGGCGCAAGCCUGAUCCAGCCAUGCCGCGUGAGUGAUGAAGGCCUUAGGGUUGUAAAGCUCUUUCACCGGAGAAGAUAAUGACGGUAUCCGGAGAAGAAGCCCCGGCUAACUUCGUGCCAGCAGCCGCGGUAUUACGAAGGGGGCUAGCGUUGUUCGGAAUUACUGGGCGUAAAGCGCACGUAGGCGGAUAUUUAAGUCAGGGGUGAAAUCCCAGAGCUCAACUCUGGAACUGCCUUUGAUACUGGGUAUCUUGAGUAUGGAAGAGGUAAGUGGAAUUCCGAGUGUAGAGGUGAAAUUCGUAGAUAUUCGGAGGAACACCAGUGGCGAAGGCGGCUUACUGGUCCAUUACUGACGCUGAGGUGCGAAAGCGUGGGGAGC